GUCACCCGUAUGCAAAUGAGCGCCAUGGGGGAGCGGGGGCCCGGCGCGCGGCCGGGCUCAGUCUCGCGCCGCGGAGCGCGCGCGCGCCCCCCCCCUCCCUUCCCCUCUUUCCCUUUUUCCCUUUUCCCGCCUCCUUCCCUCAUUUUUUCCCCCCCCUUUCAUCCCAUGGACAUGGCACGGCCACCUUAAAAACGCCGCGCCGCCCCCUCCUCCCCCGAUCGCCGGGGCCGCUAUGAGUCAGGUGUGAAGCCCCCGCCGGGAGGAGGUCGUUCCCCUCGCUGGCUGCAGCUCUGACGCUGGGAUUUUCCUUUUUUUGGCUUUUUUUUUUUUUUUUUUGUCGGCCCCACCACCUCCCUCCUUCCCUCCCUCGCUCCCUCCCUCCAGGAAUCCAGCGCUGCACCGAAGCCAGAAGAGAGGGAGCAAAACCCAGCCCAGGCCGAGAGCUGCGUCCAGAAACCAAACCCGCCCUUCGCGUCGCAGAGGAGAUUUUUUUUUUUUUAAAUCAUCAUCAUCAUUAUUAUUAUUAUUUUUAUUUUUAACACCCCUGACCCGAGCACGGUGGCGGCAGCGGCGCCGGGGCAGGGAGGCUGUCCCGGUUAUUUAUUCUCUCCCCGCAGAGCUGUCCCUCCGGCUCACCAUGAUGUUCCGAGACCAGGUUGGCGUGCUGGCCGGGUGGUUCAAGGGCUGGAACGAGUGCGAGCAGACUGUUGCGCUGCUCUCCCUGCUCAAACGCGUCAGCCGGACCCAGGCUCGCUUCCUCCAGCUCUGCCUCGAGCAUUCCCUGGCAGACUGCACCGAGCUCCACAUCCUCGAAGGGGAGGCCAACAACCCCGGCAUCAUUAACCAGUGGCAACAGGAAUCCAAGGACAAAGUGAUCUCCUUGUUGUUAACCCACCUGCCUUUACUGAAACCCGGCAACAUCGAGGCGAAAGUCGAGUACAUGAAACUCUUGCCCAAAAUCCUGGCGCACUCCAUCGAGCACAACCAGCACAUCGAGGAGAGCAGGCAGCUGCUGUCCUAUGCCUUGAUCCACCCUGCCACCUCCCUGGAGGACAGGAGCGCCCUGGCCAUGUGGCUCAACCACCUGGAGGACCGCACCUCGGGGGGUUUCGGCGGGCAGGGCCGCGGCCGCUCCGACUCGCUGGACUACGGGCAGGCUCACUACUAUCACCAAAGACAGAACUCCGACGACAAACUCAACGGGUGGCAGAACUCUCGGGACUCCGGCAUCAGCGUCAGCGCUUCCAGCUGGCAGGAUAAAAACAUGGCCUGCGAGAACGGCCACCUGCCCCUCUACUCCUCCUCCUCCGUCCCCACCACCAUCAACACCAUCGGCACUAGCACAAGCACCAUUCUCUCAGGCCAGACACACCACAGCCCUUUGAAACGCUCUGUGUCCCUUACCCCACCCAUGAAUGUGCCAAACCAACCUCUAGGACAUGGAUGGAUGUCUCAUGAGGACUUACGAGCUAGAGGACCCCAGUGCAUCCCUUCCGAUCAUGCCCCCCUGUCUCCACAAAGCAGUGUAGCCUCUUCGGGAAGUGGUGGGAGUGAACAUUUAGAAGAUCAGCCUUCUGCUCGUAACACAUUCCAGGAGGAAGGGAGUGGGAUGAAAGAUGUCCCAGCCUGGCUGAAGAGCCUCCGGCUGCACAAGUACGCCGCCCUCUUCUCCCAGAUGACGUACGAGGAGAUGAUGGCCCUCACCGAAUGCCAGCUCGAGGCACAAAACGUUACCAAAGGUGCGAGACACAAAAUAGUCAUCAGUAUCCAAAAGCUAAAAGAAAGACAAAACCUGCUCAAAUCUCUAGAAGGGGACAUCCUGGAAGGCGGCAACUUGCGUGUCCCGCUGCAGGAGCUACACCAAAUGAUCCUCACCCCCAUCAAAGCCUACUCUUCCCAAAACUCGAGCCCGGAGGAGCACAGCCGGGACGUGGACUCGCACCACCCCUCCUCCCUGCUGGGCUCGGACAGCCAAGGCUCGGACUGCAAGGACUCCGCGGCGGCCGGGAUGCAGCAGCAGCAUCUGCCGGGAUGCGAGGGCGAGUCGGGAGGGGCCCCUUUGCCCGAGGGGGACCUGCCCGGGCAGUUCACCCGCGUGAUGGGGAAAGUCUGCACACAACUUUUAGUUUCCCGACCCGAUGAAGAGAAUAUAAGUUCCUAUUUACAGCUCAUAGACAAAUGUCUAAUCCACGAGGCGUUUACAGAGAUCCAGAAGAAGCGGCUGCUGUCAUGGAAACAGCAGGUGCAGAAACUCUUUCGGUCCUUCCCUCGGAAAUCCCUCCUGGAGCUGUCAGGCUAUCGGCAGCAGAGGAGCCGAGGCUUUGGCCAGUCCAACUCCCUCCCGACAGCCGGAUCCGCGGGGGCAGGGCUGGCACGGAGGAACCCCCGGCAGUUCCAGAUCCCCUCCCGAAACCUCCCCACGGCCCGGCUGGGGCUGCUGGGCCCCACGGGGCUGCUGGGCACCCCCCAGCGCAGCCCUGCCGCCAGCCCCGCCAUCCUCAAGCAAGGCAGACAGAACCUGUGGUUUGCCAACCCUGGGGGCAGUAACAGCAUGCCCAGCCGGAGCCACAGCUCGGUGCAGAGGACGCGCUCGCUGCCGGUCCACACGUCCCCGCAGACCAUGCUGAUGUUUCAGCAGCCAGAGUUCCAGGUGCCGGUGACUGAACCUGACAUCAACAACAGGCUGGAGUCCCUGUGCCUGAGCAUGACGGAGCACGCACUCAGCGGUGAGCAUUCCCUCCUCCUGGGGCUCUUCCAGCACGUCCACGCCGCCUCUGCUGAGCCCCCCAGCACCUGCCCCGUGCCCCCCAAAAGCUGGGACAGGCUGUGGCUGUGAGAGCGGGGCCGGAUGCCGGGAUGCUCCCGGGGCUGCUCGGACGGGAAUGUCGGCUUCUCUCGGCGAGGUGGCCGGGCAGGGGGCAAAGCCGAACGCAGGGAUCGCACCAGCACCAGCAGAGUCUGUGCUAAUUAGCCACUCUUCAGCUUGCUAAUGGUAAUUAGUGUUAGCUCGCUACUCUCGUUAGCUCUCGAUGAAGCCCCUGGGUCACAGGCUUCGGAGCGUUGUGCCCUUCACCACCGGAUCCCUGGUUUGGCCGGGGGUGCCCCACAGCUGGGGGCUAAAUCCCUGCCAGGCGCUGUGCCAGGGGCUGCGCUGGGCACCGUGCCCUGGUGCUGGCAGUCCUCACACAGCCGGGGGUGCCAGCGGAUAACGGGCACGGGGAGGGAGGAGGACCGGGGCAAAAACAAGCAGGGAAGAUGGAAAAGGCAGCAGCAGCAGCAGCAGAGCAGUGGAGAGCCCAGUGCAGCACAAAGCACCGGCACCAGGAGCUCCUGGUGUCCCUUGCGACGCUCCGGACCCCCAGGCACAAGGGAUGGCCCCGGCGAUGGGAUGAGCGCGGCAUCGCCCCGAGUCCCCGGGGACCAGCUCGGGUCUCGCUGCGGAAAUCCUGGACUGUGACCGAUGGCUGAGCACGGAGCCCUCGGACAGGACCGGUGCCACCAGGCUCCCUGCAGAUGCAACAGCCUUCCCGGGGAGAGGAACAGGAGAACAAGGACUGUGGGAAGCAGCAGGGCCCUGGCAGCAUCCCUGGCUGGGAAAACAAGGACACUUCUGUCACCCGAAGCGUUUCUCCGGCGUGUGCCCAGCCGAGGCUUAGCUGUCUUGUUCCUCUGCAGGAUGGUGUCGACAGAACCUCCACGAUCUAGAAGGCGUCGCCAGGGGGACGCUGGCCGGGACAACAACUGCUGCGGGUCCAGCGGCGAGGUCGGGGCUGAGGGAGCCUCAGUGAUAGCUUGCAUCCUUUCUCCUCUCUCCUCUCCUCUCUCUCUCUCUAUAUCUCUCCUGUUUUAAUUUUGUGAAUGUGUAGAUUGUCCUUGUGAACAUAUCAUUAGACUUGGAAUUUGUGUUGUCAUUUAUUACAUCCAUGCUAAGGGGGGGGGAAAAGAUGGCAAAAAAAAAAAAAAAUAAUAAAUCUCAGCGAUGAUGGUGAAGCAGCAUGGGGAGGUUGGGGUGGACAUGGAGGAGGAGAGUGCUGACAACAGAGGGUUCACCGUGGGCAAACCCUGCUCCUGGAGGAGGAUACCAAGGAGCACGGAACACCACGUGGGGUGUGUGACCAAAAACCCUUUGGGGAGGAUUCUCCUGCCCUGCCGGGGGCUUCGGGGAUGGCAGUUCUGACUCUGGAGUUCGGCUGCUUUCGGGUGCGGGCUGACCCGGCGAGCCCAGACUGAAACAGAAAUAAUAAAAUAACCCCAAAAUUCCCUUUCAGUUUAGCCAAGAGAUCUGCAGUGUGGGGGCAGCAUUGUGCUCAGGGCAGUGGAGGGUCGGGGGUGCCCAUCCCUGCACCUCGCCCAGAGGAGGGGCCCCCUGCGAACUGGGGGACACUGGGAGAGUUUCCUGCAUCCUGGCUCCACACAUCUCCCCCAGCCUGCCCAAAUCCAGCUGUAAGGGGUUUUUCCUUUCCCCCAAAUAAAUCCCAAGUCACAAAGGGCACCAAAAUGCAGCUUCCCAGCCUUGUUUUCUUGGCAUUAACCGUGGGGCUGGCAGUGGCUGGGCUGCCCCUCACCCACUGCUGCUUUUUAUAACGGGAGCUAAAUUUGGUGUUAAAUUGAUAAAUCUGACCUGGCACUGCUCUGAGCUGCAGUGAUGCUCCCGCCGGUCCUGAUGCUGCUCUGAGUCCUCUGAUGGAAUAACGACAAAUAUAAAAUCAAUUAAUUUAGCUGAUGGGUAGCAACAAUAUUUCAAGAAUGGGCUGUGAGGACCUGGGCAGCAUCAGGGGGAGCAGGGCUCGGGGCUCAGGGGUAGCCAGAGCAUGGGCAGGGCUGGGAGAUGUGUGAAUCCUUUUGUCAUGCGACGUUUUUAAGUUGUUUUUCUAAAAAAAAAAAAAGAAAUAUAUAUAUAUAUAUAUAUACACACAUAUAUGUAUACAAAAACCCAAGUGCCAAAUGCAAUGUUUUAUGUUUGCUGUUCCUUGGUGUCCUGCUUCCCGGCAGACAGGAGGUUGAGGGGGGUGAUGGGGAGGGUGGAGAAGGGAAAACCUGAAGGCCAGGGAGGUUGGGAGAGGUGUGAGGAGGUGAAGGCGAAGCGGGGUCGGCGCUGGGGUCACCCCCGAGCACCCCCAGCCUGUGAGGUGUGAGCGGAGCCGCCGUAGCAGGAGCCUCCCUCAGGGAGACUCCAGUGUAUUUACAGAGCUGAAAUUCUAUUUAUUCCUUCGCUGACUAUGGACACGGAGGUUUUCUGAUUGUUCAGAGAGAUUAUUUUGGAUAUUUUACCUAUUAACUUGCUGUGGCUGGGAACCAUGAUAAUGUCUGUUAUUAACAACCACCAAAUAAUUCAAUUGUUUUAUCCUUUUGAUGUUAAAAGAAGAAAGAAAAAAAAGCUUAUUUUCCAUUGACAGUGUAGAGGUUAAUAACGACUUAGUUGUGUUUGCUGUUUCUUGUUUUGUUUUUUGAGUAAAAACAACAAAAAAGUGGCUUCAGUUGUGUUCGGGAAGUGCUGCCUGGCUCUGGCUGCCGGUGCUAAGUGCAGGUGGCAGAGCUCCAGGGAAAGAAGCUUAAAAGGGGGAGGGGGGGAGAAAAAGCUUGAAUCCUAAAAGAAAUAAAAAUUAUUUAUAGAAAGCAAAGAAAAAAAGAAAACAAAAAAUCCUCCGACAGUUGCAUCAGUGAGGCUGCGAAGUCAAAUAUUCAAUAAUAAAGCGGCAGUGCCUUUCUUUUUGUAUCCCCCGCUCGCCCCACUGCAACUGUCCCCUCCCUGUCCUGGCUGAGAUGUCACCCCAGCGGGGUCCUGGGGGUCGGGUGGGCAAUCCCCCCAUCCCACUGCUCGCCCAGCUCCAGCCUGGGCCCCCCAGGACCUUUUCCUGGUGCUGUUCCCCCGGGGAGCCCAACGCUCAAAGCGGCCUCGGGCGUGGAAGUGACACCACGGGGACACAACCCCGUGUCCCUUCAGCGUUGUCCCCAUCCCCAGGGACACCCCGAGCUCGGGUGGGUUGAGCUCAGCUCAGCAAAACCCUCCAAAAGGGUUUAGGGUGGCCGAGGCAGGGCAGAUCCAGCAGGAAAAUCCCAAACGGUUGGGUCAGCACUUAGGGAAGCGAUUUCUGUUGUCACCUUUCUCCAUGUCGGGUUUGGCUUUCGGGAUGUGCCUGAUGGAAAAUGAGUCCCGCAGACGUCUAUAAUUUGCACACAGCGACGAUAACACUAAAGUUGAUUUUAUACGAGUCAUCAGAGUUUGCAAAAGUGAGUUUUAUUUUUUGUAUUCCUUUUAUCUUUACUUAAAGGUGAAUGUGUAUUCCUCUGGGAGGAAUAGGAAGAAAAAAAAAAAAAGAAAAAUACAUAAAAAAACAGGAAUGUUAAUAAUGUUAAACAGAAUACUUCCUCCCUUAUUAAUAUAUAUAACCCUGAUGUAUUUAUGCCUAUUGUAAGCUGACUUUAAAGAGCUUUGACCUCUCUUCUGUUGCAUGCCGUUCCUGGGCAGCCUCUCCUUGUCCAUGCAUGCCUUUUGUCCUGGUUUUUCUGUACAAAGUUAGUGCACAAAAGAACUAUUUUUGCCUAGUUAAUGUUGCCGAGCAAUGCCUAUUUUUUAAAUUUUAAUUUCUUUUUUUUUUUAAUUUUAAUUUUUUUGGUCAUAUAUGGCAAUAGCAUGUUUGUUACAUGUAAAAGCUUCCCGAUAUAAAGAAAUACUAAUGUUUGGAGAUGCCAGUCUUUGCAAGUGUACAGUUUUCCAAUGUUGUUCCCAGUGAAACACCCUUGUGAUUUCCACUUGCUCCGAUGUAUUUAUUACUCAUUUCCUCCCGUGUAACUAGGAACCAUGGCUAUAUUUCAUAUCUGCGCUAUAUUGAAAGUGAAGGGAGAUGAUUAAUACAAGGUUUUGUAACA
Taeniopygia guttata (zebra finch) is the source of this 6870-nucleotide RNA transcript. It is a transcript of the gene named sterile alpha motif domain containing 4A, with no coding region annotated. NCBI's taxonomy places the organism in Eukaryota, Metazoa, Chordata, Aves, Passeriformes, Estrildidae. The record is from RefSeq and is a predicted model, not a curated record.